UAGUUUUUUCUAUGACCUUUUUCAUGAAAUACUAAUGAUCUUCUUUUCUUUUCAUGCAGGAAGCAUCUACUGUUACCGCGGGUUCAGGACGUGCCCUUGGCUUUGGUUUCAUCGUCUUUGCAAAUCCUUCUGUUGCAGAGAGAAUGGUCAUGGAGAAACACAUAAUUGAUGGCCGCAGGGGUGAUUGGCGAACUCUUUCAGCUCUUUUAUGAGUUGUAUUGUGGCUUUUAAAUAGGGUCAACUACUGUAAACUCUGUCCCUCCGUAAAGACACAUGAAGCUGAUUUUCUGUGCAAAGCUCAGAUUGUUGGGGUCCCUCAGCAAAAUGGAUGGUCAUUCGUUUCUUGAUGCAACAUGAAGCUCCACAGAUCCAGAUACCCCUCCGGUGCAACAGAGGUGUUUCUCCAAACGGGUGAACAGUGUCACAUUCGUGGUCUUCGACAGGGAGAUGACAAAACUCACCAAGUAAGAUGCAGCCACUCUAGCUCUUGAGGAGAUUAGUGGCGAUGGAGUGCCAGCGCUACCAAGUUGCCUUGAAGAGCUAGCUGGCAAGUAAUGCGUUUUCCAGAUUUGUGUCACUCCAUACAGUUUCAACCCCAACCACCGUACCGUAUCUUCACCAUCUCUGCACACAUACAAUAUCUCCUUCGGCACUCAGCCACAGAGUGGUGGCAGCAACCAAGCUCCUUUUUGGAUGUCCAAGCUGGAGAACCAACAGCAACUUCUAGCUACACCGUUGAUGGGGGGGAAGCGAGCAAUAGGAGUUGAUGAAGCAAAUACACUUGGCUCUGAAGACGCAGAAAAAACUGCAGACGCCCCCAAUGAAUAAGAGUUUCAAGUCCAUCAAACCGGCAUGCCCACUUAGCUUUCGUGUCAACUGAAAUAUAUAUUUUCCUAUGUUUUAGUACUUCAAACUAUGGUUGUGUCUUCAUAUUAUCUGCAAACUAUCUCUCAACUUUGAAAUUAAAUAAAGAGAAAGUUCACGUGGAUUUGCAUCUCUAGAUAAAGUCAUAAAUAAGUCCAACGUUUUUCAUUUGACUGAUCAAUGGGCCUACAUAUAACUCAGUUAUAUAACCAAUGUUUAGGUUUAUCUCAAACAACAGAAUCUGCAUUUAACUUUUAAAAUUACGUUUUUUCAUACCUAUUACGGUUCAGCCAAACCUCUUAUAAACCGUAUGCAACUUUAAACAAAAUGUUUUAUACUUCAAUGGGUACACAAAGAAUGACAUGAUUUUUUUGUAAAAUGAGACCAAUGGUAUGCGUACGAAGGUUAAAAAAAAACGUUCAACAUGUUCUGAUAUAAAAUGGAACCUACUAGGCUACUAAUACAUCCAAACUGCAUCCAAAAUUAUAAUAUUUUUUUUUUUGAACGACUAAUAUUUCUUUUAA
This is a long non-coding RNA of Brassica napus (rape), 1388 nucleotides long. RefSeq lists it as uncharacterized. The record is from RefSeq and is a predicted model, not a curated record. Lineage: Eukaryota; Viridiplantae; Streptophyta; Magnoliopsida; Brassicales; Brassicaceae. The transcript is spliced from 5 exons.